CACGCUGUAAACGAUGAGUGCUAGGUGUUGGGGGGGAACCCUCAGUGCCGCAGCUAACGCAAUAAGCACUCCACCUGGGGAGUACGGCCGCAAGGUUGAAACUCAAAGGAAUUGACGGGGGCCCGCACAAGCGGUGGAGCAUGUGGUUUAAUUCGACGCAACGCGAAGAACCUUACCAAGGCUUGACAUCCCGCUGACCGGUACAGAGAUGUACCUUUUCUUCGGAACAGCGGUGACAGGUGG
RNAcentral lists this ribosomal RNA (243 nucleotides) under uncultured Bacillota bacterium. RNAcentral describes it as "uncultured Firmicutes bacterium partial 16S ribosomal RNA". It matches the Rfam family "Bacterial small subunit ribosomal RNA", at positions 796 to 1041 of the family's 1533-position model. Lineage: Bacteria; Bacillati; Bacillota. The record is from RNAcentral.